This is a non-coding RNA of Cicer arietinum (chickpea), 571 nucleotides long. NCBI's taxonomy places the organism in Eukaryota, Viridiplantae, Streptophyta, Magnoliopsida, Fabales, Fabaceae. The record is from RefSeq and is a predicted model, not a curated record.
AGGGAUAUGAAAGAGAGCCACAAUAUAUAUAAUCUUCAACUUUGAUCCCACUUGAAAUAAGUGAUAAUUGAGGCUCAUAAUAGUGAUAUGUUAUAAUCAAUUUAUUAAUUUCUUGUGCCCAAAACCCAAAUAUACAGCUGUGUUUUUCUUUCAACGUAAUUAAUAUUCUGAAUUUAUUAUUCUGAACUAAUACAGUUGUGUUUGGAUUAACUAAAGAUACAAUCUUAGCGCGCGGGAAUUUGAAGGAACUUCAACUGAACGGAGGAAUGACAUGAGAACGAGGAAUCAUACUUUAAGAAUCCCACAGUAGCAGUUUGGUCAAUGAUGAUUAUAUCAUUUAUGCAACUUUUUAUCCAUCAACAUCUUUGUCUAUAUGAGCAAUGCUUGAUGUGUCUUGAAACCAAAGACUUUAAAAUAAGCAUCAAGAUCAUGACUUAGUGUUGGUUCUUUUGGCAUCUAAAAUUGUAAAUAUUUAUUAUCCAGACUAGUUGCAGGUUACUCCAACUUAUUGGCAAGGGCUAUUUCAAGUGUUAAUAUUAGGUAGUGGAGAUGUUGCAGAGCAAAGGUGGAG